RNAcentral lists this ribosomal RNA (253 nucleotides) under uncultured bacterium. Its description in RNAcentral is "partial 16S ribosomal RNA". It matches the Rfam family "Bacterial small subunit ribosomal RNA", at positions 524 to 776 of the family's 1533-position model. The record is from RNAcentral.
GACGAACCGAGCGAACGUUGUUCGGAAUUACUGGGCGUAAAGGGCGCGUAGGCGGCCUUCUAAGUCGAACGUGAAAUCCCCGGGCUCAACCCGGGAACUGCGUCCGAUACUGGAAGGCUUGAAUCCGGGAGAGGGAUGCGGAAUUCCAGGUGUAGCGGUGAAAUGCGUAGAUAUCUGGAGGAACACCGGUGGCGAAGGCGGUUCUCUGGGCCUGUACUGACGCUGAGACGCGAAAGCGUGGGGAGCGAACAGG